UAUUUUGUUAAAGUUAUAAAUAACUCGGAAACAUUCCUUUCCAGCCACAGAAUUUUCCAAAAAUUUCACAUUUUUAACUCAGUCUAAAAAAUCAAAGUCUGAGAUUUUUCGUAAAAGACCCGUGAAACGAUCAAGAUAUCAAUGAAAACCGGAGAAGACCAAAACUUGGUGAUCUCUGCUUCUUUACUGUACCCUUAAUGUGUCUUUCUUUUCCAGAAUGACAGUAUGACCCCGUCACCUGUCAAACGCAUCCCUUCGACGCGGCCACCAUUCACACUGGGUGAGCUGAAGAGAGCAGUACCCCCGCACUGCUUUCAACGAUCCCUGCCGCGCUCCAUGUAUUACGUUACAACGGACGUAGGUGCUAUACUCUUGUCUACCUAUCUCGCCACAUUCAUUCCUCUCCUGCCACCAUUUCUUCAAGUGAUAGCUUGGCCACUUCAUUGGACAGUCGCUGGCAGUUUCAUGCUCGGUGCUUGGCUCAUUGGUCAUGAUUGUGGUCAUCAUGCGUUCAGUGACUACAAGUGGCUUAAUGACGUCAUCGGAUUUGUCCUUCAUUCGGUAAUGCUUACGCCUUAUUUUUCGUGGAAAUACUCCCACACGUCGCACCACGCUAACACUGGAUCCACAGAACGACAGGUCGUGUUCUUGGUGAAAAAAAAGGACGCCCUCCCGUGGCAUGCUAGAUACACAGACAACCCCCCUCUUCGGGUCCUCAACUUAACGAUAUCCCUCUUCAUCGGAUGGCCAUUGUACUUAACUUUCAACGUUUCCGGGCGCACUUACGAUUCCUUUGCGAACCAUUUCUACCCUCAGGGUCCCAACUUUACGCGCCGCCAGCGUGCCCAAGUGCUCCUCUCUGAUUUGGGCGUCACGUCGGUCGCUUAUGCUAUCUACCGGCUGACACUCUCAACUAGUCUAUCAUGGAUACUCUGCAUCUAUGGUCUACCGCUUCUCUUCGCCAACGCAUGGAUCGUUGCAAUAUCCUACCUAAACCACAUCCACCCCGCACUACCCCACUACGACGAGGGUGAGUGGGACUGGUUGCGAGGAACUAUGUCCACCGUCAACAGGGACUUCGGGUGGUGGAACUACUUUUCCCACCAUAUUACGGACGGCCAUGUUGCGCACCACUUGUUCCCGACGAUGCCGCAUUAUCAUGUGAUGGAGGCCACAGAGGUGAUAAAGCCAAUUUUGGGCGAGUAUUAUUUGUUGGACCGGACGCCAGUUUGGAGGGCCUUGUACCGAGAGACUAAGGAGUGCCUGUUUGUGGCACCAGAGAAGGUUCGGAAAGGAGUGCAUUGGUUUGGGAGUCUAGUAGAAGAGAGGGCAGAGUGAAGUUAAGGCAUGGUCACAUCUAAUAUACUGAACUAUACCUGUACCUGUACUAUAAUGCUGAUGAAUGAUAUUUUUCACGAAAAAGGAAGUGCCGCGCUAAGUCAGAAUUAGAUUUUAUACUCGCAAUUAAGAAACAAACUGCCAUUAUAUUAUUUUCUGAGAAAUAGUCAUAUUGUACAAAUUUAUGUUUAAAAUAGAUCUUAUUGUGUCAUCGGAACUCAAGGCAUCAAUUUUGUAUGGAGGCAUCAUUUUGCUCAUUAAUCCAAAACACUUACCAGGGUUUGCGACAGUGCAGGAUUUUCUGUUGGACUUUUUAUGAUUUGUCUCGGAACUUUCAAGAAUAUCCUUGGAGCAAUUUGUGCGAAAGCUAUUAAUUUUUUUUUUAACUAAAAAAGUAAAAAAAUCAAUAAAUAGCGAAGAUUUUGAAACGCCAAUUGAUGUCUGUAGAUGUGUAGUCUUAUUAUCGAUCUAUUUUUUCAAUUUGGUGUCACGAUAUUGCACAGCAAUAUUAAAUUCUUUGCUUGACAUUAAUACUGUUUCCAAUAUACUUGUGUGCAUAGUAAAAAGCGAAGGUUGGGUCUUCAUUACUGUGAAGGAAAUUGCUCUAUCAUUUGACUGCGCAGCAGAUAUUGACAAACACAAUCUCAUUUUACGUGAAAUUUGAUGGAAAAAUCAAAAUGAGAUGCAUGUCAGUAAUUUUUCUAAACUCAAAAGUUCCAAAAUGCAAUUUCUACAAUUUAUGUUAAAAAUCUUGAACAAACCAUGAAUAAGCGCCUUAGCUUUUAUUAAUAUUAAUAAGCGUAUAUGUUUCUUUUAAAAGUGUAAGUGAUAAAGUUCCUAUCAAAAUAUAUAUCUUCUAAUGUUUGCAAUGCUGAAAUGCAGUGGCGUGGCGUGAGCAAUCGAUUAUCGAUAUUUCCCCAUUUUAAGCUAUAGUAAAGAAUCGAUUAUGAAGGUGUUCGUUGCGAACACCCUGGAUAUCGAUUAUUUUCCAUAGGUUUAAAUGGCAGAUCAAGCGAUAUAUUGCAAAGCACGCCACGCCACUGCGGAAAUGUAAGAAAAGACGUUACCAUGUUAAUACUUGUUUGAUGACUCAACCCCGAACUCAACGCUGGGGUUUGAGUUGCAGGGCCAGCGUUCGAAUUCCUUUCAACCUGCUUUCAGUGUAUUUUCCGAAGGAAAAAUGCACUAUUGCGUUCUCCCUCAUGGUGGGACCUAGGUCCCACCAUGAGUUCUUUUACGUACAUCUUUCGUACAAGUAAAAUUUACCAGUUUUAAUUUUGUUUUACAAAUUACAUUACAAGAUGUACUACUAAGGUCCCUAAUGUUGUUCACCAAGUUCAAUGUAUCAAUUAUUUUAUUAUUUUCCACCAC
RNAcentral lists this long non-coding RNA (2709 nucleotides) under Bemisia tabaci. RNAcentral describes it as "lncRNA ENSSWEETPG012263". The record is from RNAcentral. Lineage: Eukaryota; Metazoa; Arthropoda; Insecta; Hemiptera; Aleyrodidae.